Molecule: long non-coding RNA, 92 nt
Organism: Maniola jurtina (meadow brown)
Lineage: Eukaryota; Metazoa; Arthropoda; Insecta; Lepidoptera; Nymphalidae
Exons: 2
Source: RefSeq, a predicted model, not a curated record
UUUCGGAGACGGGUGAAGGGCCCGCUUAAGGUAUUUAAGAUAGGUGAGGGGUGCUCGAGCAAAUGUUACUCAAAACGUCAUCCGAUUGGCAG